UCGGAUAUGGUGUAAUGGUUAACAUUACCGCCUCUCAUCAGUGGGUUCGCGGUAGCUCGGGGUUCGAUUCCCCGUAUCCGAA
This is a non-coding RNA of Suillus cothurnatus, 82 nucleotides long. NCBI's taxonomy places the organism in Eukaryota, Fungi, Basidiomycota, Agaricomycetes, Boletales, Suillaceae. The record is from the annotation of a GenBank genome assembly.